CUCGGGGGACAUGUACCCGCGGCCUGAGCAGUACGGCCAGGUGACCAGCCCGCGCUCCGAGCACUAUGCCGCACCGCAGCUGCACGGCUACGGGCCCAUGAACGUGAACAUGGCCGCGCACCACGGCGCCGGCGCCUUCUUCCGCUACAUGCGCCAACCCAUCAAGCAAGAGCUCAUCUGCAAGUGGAUCGAGCCCGAGCAGCUGGCCAACCCCAAAAAGUCGUGCAACAAAACUUUUAGCACUAUGCACGAGCUGGUCACGCACGUCACCGUGGAGCACGUCGGCGGCCCCGAGCAGAGUAACCACAUCUGCUUCUGGGAGGAGUGUCCGCGCGAGGGCAAGCCCUUCAAAGCCAAAUACAAACUGGUUAACCACAUCCGUGUGCACACGGGCGAGAAGCCCUUCCCCUGCCCCUUCCCUGGCUGUGGCAAGGUCUUCGCGCGCUCCGAGAACUUAAAGAUCCACAAAAGGACACACACAGGUACGGAAAUCGCAGUACGACCCCUACCCGCCCUCUUCUCUCCUCCGGCCUGGGACCCCAAAUUCGAAAGUCCGCGGCCGGGGCCCAUACACCCAGCGUCGGUGGGAUUCUGGCGUUAGGUUCCGGCAGGCAGGCAGCGAAAGUGUGCGCUGGUGGUUAGUUUGGGGCUUGAAAUUAUGGGGAACACACAC
Molecule: RNA transcript, 673 nt
Organism: Carlito syrichta (Philippine tarsier)
Lineage: Eukaryota; Metazoa; Chordata; Mammalia; Primates; Tarsiidae
Gene name: zinc finger protein ZIC 1 pseudogene
Exons: 1
Source: RefSeq, a predicted model, not a curated record